UAAUAGUAUCGGAACGUACCCUGGAGUGGGGGAUAACGUAGCGAAAGUUACGCUAAUACCGCAUACGAUCUAAGGAUGAAAUGGGGGAUCGCAAGACCUCAUGCUCCCGGAGCGGCCGAUAUCUGAUUAGCUAGUUGGUAGGGUAAAAGCCUACCAAGGCAUCGAUCAGUAGCUGGUCUGAGAGGACGACCAGCCACACUGGAACUGAGACACGGUCCAG
Molecule: ribosomal RNA, 220 nt
Filed under: uncultured bacterium
Lineage: Bacteria
Description: partial 16S ribosomal RNA
Rfam family: Bacterial small subunit ribosomal RNA
Source: RNAcentral